UAUAAGAUUCUAUGGUAAUCUCAGGUCAAAGGAUUAUAUGCACAACUCCCACUAUAAGAAAACAUCUUUUGACAGGUAAGUAAAUUUCAUAAGAUGUUUUUUAAGUCAGAUCAAUUCAGUGAACUCAUUCUUUUAUAAGCACCCACUUCCUUGUAUUAGUGUCUCACACAAAUGACUUAUGAGAUCAGCCACCCACUCCAUCGAGUAUGUAUAGAAAGUACUAGUCUAUCCAGAAUAUUGAUCCCCUACUCAAUGCUCCUAUGACUAGAAAUAUUUUAAAUCAAAAUUUUUAAGAUUUUAGAUCUCAUAGGUAUGAUCUCAUCAUAAUCCUAAAUUUAUUACCCUGA
This 347-nucleotide long non-coding RNA is filed under the name Elaeis guineensis (African oil palm). RNAcentral's name for it is "long non-coding RNA (EGUI_LNC066360)". The record is from RNAcentral. Lineage: Eukaryota; Viridiplantae; Streptophyta; Magnoliopsida; Arecales; Arecaceae.